Molecule: ribosomal RNA, 396 nt
Filed under: uncultured bacterium
Lineage: Bacteria
Description: bacterial SSU rRNA
Rfam family: Bacterial small subunit ribosomal RNA
Source: RNAcentral
GGCCCGGGAUAGCCCAGGGAAACCUGGAUUAAUACCGGAUGAGACGGGACCCGCGAUGGCGGGACCCGGGAAGGCGCUGCGGCGCCGCCGGGGGAUGAGUCUGCGUCCCAUUAGCUAGACGGCGGGGUAACGGCCCACCGUGGCGACGAUGGGUAGCCGGCCUGAGAGGGUGGACGGCCACAUUGGAACUGAGACACGGUCCAGACUCCUACGGGAGGCAGCAGCUAAGAAUCUUCCGCAAUGGGCGAAAGCCUGACGGAGCGACGCCCGCGUGAACGAAGAAGGCCGUGAGGUUGUAAAGUUCUUUUCGGGAGGGGGAACAACCGUGGCAGGGAAUGGCCGCGGGAUGACGUGAAUCCCGGAAUAAGCCCCGGCUAACUACGUGCCAGCCGCAGC